Molecule: long non-coding RNA, 3040 nt
Filed under: Helianthus annuus (common sunflower)
Lineage: Eukaryota; Viridiplantae; Streptophyta; Magnoliopsida; Asterales; Asteraceae
Description: hypothetical non coding rna
Source: RNAcentral
GAACCUUUUCCCUUUCUUUAUUUUCACCCGAUCUCACUUUCUCUAUAUAUAUUCUUAAUUUUUAUUUAUUUGCACCAUAAUAAUAAUAAAGCCCUGCCCUGUUUUAAGUAUUGUAACUCCCGAUCACCGCUACCCUUUCCGAUUGAUCUGGGCCUCAUAACUUAUGUCAGGGCCCUGCCCGACUAAGUUGUUGGGAUUCUAUCUCGGGACUUCGGGACAAGGUUGAAUUAGGGGUACUAUACUUACCACGAGUGCAUUAUAUAUUUUUAUAUAUAGCUCAGAAGUUAUACCCAAAAUUUAUACCAGGAGUCUUUCUAGUUGAACCCUAAAGUUACACAGUGGGUCCAUUCUCUUUGUUUUAUUCUCUUUUUGUGAUUUACCCAAAACUAUUAUUUAUUAUUCUAUUUUGUAAACAACUCUCAUCAAAAGUCAUACCUAUUAUUUUAUUUACUCAAUAGGAAACCCUAGUUGAGACACCCAAGUAAUCCUACACAACUCCUAAAAUUUUCAUAACAAUCAAAAUCAAGAUCAGGGCCCCUAAAACUUAGGAGGGGGAUAUUCCCACUUGAUGAUUAUCUUUAUAUCUCGUUGUCAAAAUUCGAAUUUAAUAUUCCGUCGACUCAUCAAGCCUACACACACACGUGGCAAGCCUAUAGUGAAAAGGUGUCCCUUACGGACCGUAAGGGAUAAGGCUUACGGUCCGUAAGCCUGUCAAUUUUCAUGUAUAAAUAGCAGGCAUCGGCACUUGCAGUCUGCUGUUCAUUCGACGAUCAAAUUCCAAUUAUACAUCGAGUUAUUGUCUAAAUACUCUAUAACACAUACACGAAUCACUAAAUAGUAAAGCGAGGUGCUGCUACGAUACAGGGUAUUAACUCAAUCGCUGCUACGAUUCAAUGUCCGAUCGAUGGAAACUAUCCGAUGGAUGUUUUAGUUCUAUCCUUUAUCAUUCGUCAUGAUUUCAACUUGAAUGUUUGAGUGCUGUCCAAAUUCGGGCUAUACUCUGUCAUUCAUUGUGAAUCCGAUGAAUGUUUAAGUGAUUGCACUUUGUCAUUCGUUGUGAGGGUUUUAAUCUCGUGAAUUGUCGUAAAUGCUGUAUUAGUUAAUUACCUAGUUUCGUAUGCAUCACUUCUUAAAUUAGGCUAUUAGUCUUACCAAUAGGCUAAACUUCACCUCAUACACCUACAAUCAAAGUAGAUGCUAAUUCUCAGAGGAAUCUGAAUCAUGAAGCUUGUUAAAUCAAUACUGCAUGCUUAUACUGUAAUUACAGUAGAUUGAAGUAAGGAUUGGAUCCGGCACUAAAGGACUUCAAGAAGUGGCUUAUUUUUAUUAAGAAAUAUCAUUUUAUUAAAAGCUACCUUUGUAAAACAUGAAUUCCUUUUUAUCUAUUUAAUAAAUAAAAAUCCGGUGUUUUUAAACUCUGAUAUUUUUCCUAACUCACGGUCCUGAUGAAAUUUCCGCUGCAAUGUUUUUUUCAAAAUAAUCACCGGUACCACUGGACUGCUCGCGGCUUCCGAUUCCGGCCAGGAUAGGGUCGGGGGUCGUGACAUUGCGACGGGCCUGUCAAACGGGAAAGCACAGACGAAAAAAACAUUGAACCCCACAUGCACGUUGCGGCGUGUUAACUCACAAAAUUUAAAACGAAAAACUUGCGAAAGUUGAAAAUUAUGGGGUUAGGAAGUUGAAAAGAUAAUGUUAGGGUUAAAUUGUAAAAGAUGAAAAGUUUUGUAUUAAAGGUAAAAAAGUCAAAAGGAUUAAAAUGUAAAACAUAAAAACCUUCGAGCUAAAAAUGGAAAAUGCCAAAACUUUUUUGAAAAACUCACUAUGCAUAGAUUACAACAAAAGAAAGCAACAAUUGGUUGCUUAUUUAUAGGAUGGAAAUAACAAUAUGGUCUACUUUUUUUCUCUAAAGAAGGGAAGCUCCUCGUCGUUAUUGUUUGUGUGUUAAUGUGACUUCUAUUGUUAGGACCUACAUCUUCGGUAUAAAACUUGAUCCAACAGAUAAAGUUCAAAAAAUCCUUGCAAGAAUUCAAAGUUUCAUGAAAUUUUCCAAUGUCCGAUCACUUAUUGUUUUACCAUGGACAGGAACUUAAACCGGAAUUUAUGGUAGACGCCUCCUUGAUCGUAAAUCAUGUCGGGCUGCAUUUGGGUUGUCGAAAUCUGAGGGAGGGCCAACCCUGAGUUUGGCAGAUUGUCUCGUUUUUGAUUUGGUAUAUUCACAGAUUGUUAAAAGGAGAGUUGAGUGAUGAAGAAGAACUUAGUGCCUUGAUCAAAGUACUUAAAACUAAUUUGGAAGCCUUCUUAGAUUGGACAGUCAGAAGCGAGUUAGAUAUUAGUAAAAAAGUGCUUUUCUUAUCACCACGUACUCAAGGUUGCCCAACACAUAUUGGCACCACGCACUCGAGGUUGCCCACCACAUAUUGGACAGUCAGAAGCGAAUGAGUUUUCAUAAUCGUUGUCCAUAUUUUUAAAGAUAUCAACGCUUGCUUGAAAUCUUCCUUAGUUUUCUUGAUCAUCUCUUCUACUUUCUCAUAGGCAUCAUCUACUUUCUUAAAGGCCAUACCCUUUUCAGCCCAACCAUUGAAAAAUUCCUCAAAAUACUCCUUCUUAUGAAUGAGUAAGGUUCUUACCAUCAUUUUUCUUUCCGAAGCGAUCAACAGCUUCAAGAAGGGAGUGACGUAUCUGUAGUCCGAACCAGGAUCGAAAAGUUCAGACUCAUAAUCGUAUUAUUGACCAAGUUUCAUGGUGGUUGAUUGAACAAAGAACUUUAAUGCUUAGGGUCCGUUUGGUUCAUGGGAUUCAAGGGAAACAGAAUUGGAAUUAGAAAGUUUUCUGUCAAAAAUCGUGUUUGGUUGAUUUUUGAUGGAAAUGGAAUUGGAAAAUAUACCAUCAGAUUCCCUCAAUCUUAGAAAUUUAAAAAUCUUUCAAAUGUGUGAUGGAAUUCAAAACAUUCAAAAAGAAUGUUACAUGAUUACUUAAAUACCCCUAUCGAUCCAAUGUUCACCCUAUCUUUAGAUCAUUUACUUCUAAUAAACUUUUCUCU